AAAAGAUAAACCAGACAAACAGCGGUGAACUUUCCCUAGGACUGGAGGUCUGGAAGAUGAAUAUUUCUCUCCUAUACAGGGAAGGUCACAUUUCUCCUUUCAGUCUAUGGAGCCCCAGGCACCAGGGAAGCCAACUCCAUGCUUGGGGUCUGGAUAGUGUCAAUUCAAGAUGAACAUAAAAGUCCUCAGUCAUUAUCCGGGAGGGAUGCAGACCAAUAGCUUUUGGAGUCGCUGAACGUGACAAAAGGGAGGUCAUUAACCAUUACACUGAAGCUACCAAGAAACCUUAUAAACUUAUGCUCCCUUAUGGAACAUCUGAGUUUUCCUGAGUAAAUGACAUUGCUUUGCCAGAUUGCCCUUCAGAACUUCCUCAGCUUAAUUAGGUAUGUGUGUCAGGAAUUUGUUUAGUCUGUAAUAUCA
This 420-nucleotide long non-coding RNA is filed under the name Phascolarctos cinereus (koala). RNAcentral's name for it is "lncRNA (ENSPCIG00000035375.1)". Lineage: Eukaryota; Metazoa; Chordata; Mammalia; Diprotodontia; Phascolarctidae. The record is from RNAcentral.